RNAcentral lists this ribosomal RNA (440 nucleotides) under uncultured bacterium. Its description in RNAcentral is "partial 16S ribosomal RNA". It matches the Rfam family "Bacterial small subunit ribosomal RNA", at positions 338 to 795 of the family's 1533-position model. The record is from RNAcentral.
CCUACGGGAGGCAGCAGUGGGGGAUAUUGCACAAUGGGGGGAACCCUGAUGCAGCGACGCCGCGUGGGUGAAGAAGCGCCUCGGCGCGUAAAGCCCUGUCAGCAGGGAAGAAAAUGACGGUACCUGAAGAAGAAGCCCCGGCUAACUACGUGACAGCAGCCGCGGUAAUACGGAGGGGGCAAGCGUUAUCCGGAUUUACUGGGUGUAAAGGGGGCGCAGACGGCGGUGCAAGCCCGGAGUGAAAGCCCGGGGCCCAACCCCGGGACUGCACUUGGAACUGCGUGGCUUGAGUGCUGGAGAGGCAGUCGGAAGUCCGGGUGUAGCGGUGAAAUGCGUAGAUAUAAGGAGGAACACCAGUGGCGAAGGCGGAUUGCUGGACAGUAACUGACGCUGAGGCGCGAAAGCGUGGGGAGCAAACAGGAUUAGAUACCCUGGUAGUC